RNAcentral lists this ribosomal RNA (389 nucleotides) under Algirosphaera sp. Its description in RNAcentral is "partial small subunit ribosomal RNA". It matches the Rfam family "Eukaryotic small subunit ribosomal RNA", at positions 582 to 975 of the family's 1831-position model. Lineage: Eukaryota; Haptophyta; Syracosphaerales; Rhabdosphaeraceae. The record is from RNAcentral.
AUUCCAGCUCCAAUAGCGUAUACUAAAGUUGUUGCAGUUAAAACGCUCGUAGUCGGAUUUCGGGGCGGGCCGACCGGUCUGCCGAUGGGUAUGCACUGGCCGGCGCGUCCUUCCUUCCGGAGACUGCGCCUACUCUUAGCUGAGCGGGCGUGGGAGACGGAUCGUUUACUUUGAAAAAAUCAGAGUGUUUCAAGCAGGCAGCUCGCUCUUGCAUGGAUUAGCAUGGGAUAAUGAAAUAGGACUCUGGUGCUAUUUUGUUGGUUUCGAACACCGGAGUAAUGAUUAACAGGGACAGUCAGGGGCACUCGUAUUCCGUCGAGAGAGGUGAAAUUCUCAGACCAAUGGAAGACGAACCACUGCGAAAGCAUUUGCCAGGGAUGUUUUCAUCA